This 324-nucleotide ribosomal RNA is filed under the name uncultured bacterium. Its description in RNAcentral is "bacterial SSU rRNA". It matches the Rfam family "Bacterial small subunit ribosomal RNA", at positions 28 to 334 of the family's 1533-position model. The record is from RNAcentral.
GAUGAACGCUGGCGGCGUGCCUAACACAUGCAAGUCGAACGGGGUUAUUUUGGAAAUCUCUUCGGAGAUGGAAUUCUUAACCUAGUGGCGGACGGGUGAGUAACGCGUGAGCAAUCUGCCUUUAGGAGGGGGAUAACAGUCGGAAACGGCUGCUAAUACCGCAUAAUACGUUUGGGAGGCAUCUCUUGAACGUCAAAGAUUUUAUCGCCUUUAGAUGAGCUCGCGUCUGAUUAGCUGGUUGGCGGGGUAACGGCCCACCAAGGCGACGAUCAGUAGCCGGACUGAGAGGUUGAACGGCCACAUUGGGACUGAGACACGGCCCAG